This 486-nucleotide ribosomal RNA is filed under the name uncultured bacterium. RNAcentral's name for it is "partial 16S ribosomal RNA". It matches the Rfam family "Bacterial small subunit ribosomal RNA", at positions 30 to 507 of the family's 1533-position model. The record is from RNAcentral.
AUUGAACGCUGGCGGCAUGCCUUACACAUGCAAGUCGAACGGCAGCACGGGUGCUUGCACCUGGUGGCGAGUGGCGAACGGGUGAGUAAUACAUCGGAACAUGUCCUGUAGUGGGGGAUAGCCCGGCGAAAGCCGGAUUAAUACCGCAUACGAUCUACGGAUGAAAGCGGGGGACCUUCGGGCCUCGCGCUAUAGGGUUGGCCGAUGGCUGAUUAGCUAUUUGGUGGGGUAAAGGCCUACCAAGGCGACGAUCAGUAGCUGGUCUGAGAGGCCGACCAGCCACACUGGGACUGAGACACGGCCCAGACUCCUACGGGAGGCAGCAGUGGGGAAUUUUGGACAAUGGGCGAAAGCCUGAUCCAGCAAUGCCGCGUGUGUGAAGAAGGCCUUCGGGUUGUAAAGCACUUUUGUCCGGAAAGAAAUCCUUGGCCCUAAUACGGUCGGGGGAUGACGGUACCGGAAGAAUAAGCACCGGCUAACUACGUG